CGCAUCUUGCGCUCCUUGGUAUUCCGAGGAGCAUGCCUGUUUGAGUGUCGUGAAAUGCUCUCAACCCCUUCUCUUUUGUUAGAGUCGGGGCUGGACUUGGACGCUUGCCGCGUGGUUAACUCCCUGCGACUCGUCUUGAAAUGCAUUAGCUGGUCCUGCCGCCCGAACCCUUGGUUUCGAAUCGGUGUGAUAAGAAACCUCUCUUAGCGCCGUUGUUGAUGCCGACUCGUUUGUAAGGGGGACCGCUUCCAAUCGUCUUUGGACAAUAUAUUCACUUCUUUUGACCUCAAAUCAGGUAGGACUACCCGCUGAACUUAA
Molecule: unclassified non-coding RNA, 318 nt
Filed under: Lentaria patouillardii
Lineage: Eukaryota; Fungi; Basidiomycota; Agaricomycetes; Gomphales; Lentariaceae
Description: partial contains 5.8S ribosomal RNA, internal transcribed spacer 2, and large subunit ribosomal RNA
Source: RNAcentral